This 80-nucleotide transfer RNA is filed under the name Tremellales sp. Tagirdzhanova-0007. It matches the Rfam family "tRNA". Rfam says of the family: Transfer RNA (tRNA) molecules are approximately 80 nucleotides in length. Their secondary structure includes four short double-helical elements and three loops (D, anti-codon, and T loops). Lineage: Eukaryota; Fungi; Basidiomycota; Tremellomycetes; Tremellales. The record is from Rfam by way of RNAcentral.
GCUCGCCUUGUGUAGUGGUUAUCACGUUUCCCUUCGAUGACAGAAGGAAAAGGUCCUGGGUUCGAGUCCCAGGGCGGGUU